UAGCAACAUUGCCUGGCUAAAGGGCUGCUGAGAAUGACUCGGAGAAAUACCAAAUAUCCAGAGCAUACAGAGCAAGGACCACUCUCCUCCAGCACUGCAAAACGUGUGCACUCUCCUUACUACACAGGAGGAGUCUCUGACAGAAACAGAGGAGAAGGAGGUAAGUAUUCAGAAGGCCACAGACCCAGGAGAGAAGGCUGGAUGGAAGAGAUCAACAGAUACCUCAGACAGUGAUGCUACCAUGAGGGGUUUGGUUACCUUGACCACAACAUGCACUUCAGAGAGAGAGGACUUCUAGGAUGAGAUGGCAUUUACCUCAUGCAGACAGGACAGCAUGCCUGGCACACAGGUGGCUACAACAAGGGAUAGAGAAGAGGGAGAAGACCUGGCAGACAUUCCCAGCAGGGCAGAGCUGCUGCCCUGGAAGAGCCUGGAGCCUCCUCACUAGGGGAAGGAAGAAAACUGGAUGAAGCCAGCAGUUUCACUCCACAGCACACCUGCCCUGCUAAAAUUCCCUUCAACUGGAGAGGGGAGUACAUAAUUGGGUACUACCUGGGCUACACCAAUAAUGUCCUUCAGAAACAGAGAAAAUACAUUAUUUAAAAUAUGCUUUCUAGCUGAAGGUAGAUACUGACAAGACUCAUGUCUUUAUUAUUCAUUUUUUUUUAAUAUGAUGUAAGAGAGACAAAAUUAAAGCACCCUGUCAAUGUCCACCAAGGUUCACAAAAGGGCUCCUGUAGUUGCUUUGUCUGAGACUAGAAUUUGUUUAUUUUGGGAGGAGCAAUUACUCCCUAGUCCAAUGGAUCUCAAACUUUUACAUAUCAUUGUGAAUUAUUUCUGAAAAUAGGGCACUUCCUCUCCUAAUUCCAAUUUGUCACCUUCCCUGUGGCUAUUGUAGUUCUUGGUUAAAUGAGAACAGAAAAAGUGCAAUAUUAAAGAGACAAAGUUAAAUUAAACUUCCUUCAGUUUUUGGAUUCUACUUCAGAUACACACACACACACACACACGUAUAUAAUUUUUUCCUCUUUUUAUUUUGACAUUUUACAUCAUAAUGCCAAACAAAGGUACUGUAGUUACCUUGGGUUGCUUUAUAUUUCACUCCUAUUUUUU
This is a long non-coding RNA of Alligator mississippiensis (American alligator), 1110 nucleotides long. RefSeq lists it as uncharacterized. NCBI's taxonomy places the organism in Eukaryota, Metazoa, Chordata, Crocodylia, Alligatoridae. The record is from RefSeq and is a predicted model, not a curated record. The transcript has 5 exons.